AAGCGGAAAAGGGAAAGGCUUAGUGGCGGACGGGUGAGUAACGCGUGGGUAACCUGGCCCAUACAGGGGGAUAACACUUAGAAAUAGGUGCUAAUACCGCAUAACAACAGAAAGCGCAUGCUUUUUGUUUGAAAACCAAGGUGGUAUGGGAUGGACCCGCGUCUGAUUAGCCGGUUGGCGGGGUAAAGGCCCACCAAGGCGACGAUCAGUAGCCGGCCUGAGAGGGUGGACGGCCACAUUGGGACUGAGACACGGCCCAAACUCCUACGGAAGGCAGCAG
Molecule: ribosomal RNA, 280 nt
Filed under: uncultured bacterium
Lineage: Bacteria
Description: partial 16S ribosomal RNA
Rfam family: Bacterial small subunit ribosomal RNA
Source: RNAcentral